Molecule: ribosomal RNA, 465 nt
Filed under: Vreelandella stevensii
Lineage: Bacteria; Pseudomonadati; Pseudomonadota; Gammaproteobacteria; Oceanospirillales; Halomonadaceae
Description: partial 16S ribosomal RNA
Rfam family: Bacterial small subunit ribosomal RNA
Source: RNAcentral
CCUACGGGGCGGCAGCAGUGGGGAAUAUUGGACAAUGGGCGAAAGCCUGAUCCAGCCAUGCCGCGUGUGUGAAGAAGGCCUUCGGGUUGUAAAGCACUUUCAGUGGGGAAGAAAGCCUUGGGGCUAAUACCCUCGAGGAAGGACAUCACCCACAGAAGAAGCACCGGCUAACUCCGUGCCAGCAGCCGCGGUAAUACGGAGGGUGCGAGCGUUAAUCGGAAUUACUGGGCGUAAAGCGCGCGUAGGCGGUCUGAUAAGCCGGUUGUGAAAGCCCCGGGCUCAACCUGGGAACGGCAUCCGGAACUGUCAGGCUAGAGUGCAGGAGAGGAAGGUAGAAUUCCCGGUGUAGCGGUGAAAUGCGUAGAGAUCGGGAGGAAUACCAGUGGCGAAGGCGGCCUUCUGGACUGACACUGACGCUGAGGUGCGAAAGCGUGGGUAGCAAACAGGAUUAGAUACCCGGGUAGU